UACGUAGGGGGCUAGCGUUGUCCGGAAUCAUUGGGCGUAAAGCGCGUGUAGGCGGCCCGGUAAGUCCGCUGUGAAAGUCCAGGGCUCAACCCUGGGAUGCCGGUGGAUACUGUCGGGCUCGAGUCCGGAAGAGGCGAGUGGAAUUCCUGGUGUAGCGGUGAAAUGCGCAGAUAUCAGGAGGAACACCAAUGGCGAAGGCAGCUCGCUGGGACGUGACUGACGCUGAGGCGCGAAAGCCAGGGGAGCAAACGGG
Molecule: ribosomal RNA, 253 nt
Filed under: uncultured bacterium
Lineage: Bacteria
Description: partial 16S ribosomal RNA
Rfam family: Bacterial small subunit ribosomal RNA
Source: RNAcentral